AGAGUUUGAUCCUGGCUCAGGAUGAACGCUGGCGGCGUGCCUAACACAUGCAAGUCGAACGGGGGCCUUCGGUUUAAGGGGAUGGAUUACCAAACCCGGAACGCACGGGCCUUAGGGGGAGACGGGUGAGUAACACCUGGGGAACCUGCCCCGAUCCGGGGGAUAACUGCUGGAAACUGGUGCUUAUAACCCCUAACCCAAGGGGACCCAUGUUUCUUUCUUGAGAGCUCUGGUGGGGCCGGAUGGACCCUUGUCUGAUUGGCUGGUUGGCGGGGUAACGGCGCAACAAUGCGACGAUCACUUGCCAGGCUGACAGGGCGGACUGCCACUUUGAGACUGACACACCUCCCACACUCCUACGGGAGGCAGAAUUGUGGAAUAUGGCACAAUGGGGGAAACCCUGAUGCCGCGACGCCGCCUGAAUGAAGAAGCGUUUGGGGGCGUAAAGAUCUGUCAGCGGGGAAGAAACUCGUUUCGCAGAGAGCAGGAGGCGGUUCCCGACCAAGAAGCCCCGGCUUAAUUCGUUCCCGCCAGUGGGGUUAUUAGUUGGGGGCCAACGUUAUCCGGAUUCUCUGGGUGUAAAGGGAGGGUAGGCGGCGAGACCAAUCCGGAGUGAAAGGCCGGGGCCUAACCCCGGGACUGCUAUGGAAACUUCCUGGCUGGAGUACUGGAGAGGUCAGUGGAAUUCCUAGUGUAGCGGUGAAAAUGCGUAGAUAUUAGGAGGAACACCAGUGGCGAAGGCGGCUUGCUGGACGGUAACUGACGUUGAGGCUCGAAAGCGUGGGGAGCAAACAGGAUUAGAUACCCUGGUAGUCCACGCCGUAAACGAUGAUCACUAGGUGUCGGGGGUCAGAAGGCCCCCGGUGCGGCAGCCACCGCAGUAAGUGUUCCACUUGGGGAGUAGGUUGGCAGGAAGGAAAUUCAAGGGAAUGGAGGGGGACCGGCCCAAGGGGUGGAGCAGGUGGUUUAUUUGGAAGCAAGGGGAAGACCCUUACCCGCCCUUGACAUCCCCUCGGAGGGCCCGUAUCGGGGCCUUCCUUUCGGGGCGUGGGAGCCAGGUGGUGCAGGGUGGUGUUCAGUUGGUGUGGUGAGAUGUUGGGUUAAUUCCCGCAAGGAGCGCACCCCCUAUCCCUAGUAGCCAGCGGAGAAGCCGGGCACUCUAGGGAGACUGCCGGGGACAACCCGGAGGAAGGCGGGGACGACGUCAAAUCAUCAUGCCCCUUAUGGCCGGGGCGACACACGUGCUACAAUGGCGCAGACAGAGGGAGGCGAGGCGGCGACGCGGAGCGAAUCCCAAAAAAAGCGUCCCAGUUCGGAUUGCAGCCUGCAACUCGGCUGCAUGAAGCCGGAAUCGCUAGUAAUCGCAGAUCAGAACGCCGCGGUGAAU
This 1387-nucleotide ribosomal RNA is filed under the name uncultured bacterium. RNAcentral's name for it is "partial 16S ribosomal RNA". It matches the Rfam family "Bacterial small subunit ribosomal RNA", at positions 8 to 1367 of the family's 1533-position model. The record is from RNAcentral.